UGAGGAAUAUUGGUCAAUGGACGCGAGUCUGAACCAGCCAAGUAGCGUGAAGGAUGACUGCCCUAUGGGUUGUAAACUUCUUUUAUAUGGGAAUAAAGUGGUCCACGUGUGGAUUUUUGUAUGUACCAUAUGAAUAAGGAUCGGCUAACUCCGUGCCAGCAGCCGCGGUAAUACGGAGGAUCCGAGCGUUAUCCGGAUUUAUUGGGUUUAAAGGGAGCGUAGGCGGAUUGUUAAGUCAGUUGUGAAAGUUUGCGGCUCAACCGUAAAAUUGCAGUUGAUACUGGCAGUCUUGAGUGCAGUAGAGGUGGGCGGAAUUCGUGGUGUAGCGGUGAAAUGCUUAGAUAUCACGAAGAACUCCGAUUGCGAAGGCAGCUCACUGGAGUGUAACUGACGCUGAUGCUCGAAAGUGUGGGUAUCAAACAGGAUUAGAUACCCUGGUAGUCCACACAGUAAACGAUGAAUACUCGCUGUUUGCGAUAUACAGUAAGCGGCCAAGCGAAAGCAUUAAGUAUUCCACCUGGGGAGUACGCCGGCAACGGUGAAACUCAAAGGAAUUGACGGGGGCCCGCACAAGCGGAGGAACAUGUGGUUUAAUUCGAUGAUACGCGAGGAACCUUACCCGGGCUUAAAUUGCAAAUGAAUUAUGGGGAAACCCAUACGCCGCAAGGCAUUUGUGAAGGUGCUGCAUGGUUGUCGUCAGCUCGUGCCGUGAGGUGUCGGCUUAAGUGCCAUAACGAGCGCAACCCUUAUCUUCAGUUACUAACAGGUCAUGCUGAGGACUCUGGAGAGACUGCCGUCGUAAGAUGUGAGGAAGGUGGGGAUGACGUCAAAUCAGCACGGCCCUUACGUCCGGGGCUACACACGUGUUACAAUGGGGGGUACAGAAGGCCGCUACCUGGUGACAGGAUGCCAAUCCCAAAAACCUCUCUCAGUUCGGAUCGAAGUCUGCAACCCGACUUCGUGAAGCUGGAUUCGCUAGUAAUCGCGCAUCAGCCAUGGCGCGGUGAAUACGUUCCC
This 1017-nucleotide ribosomal RNA is filed under the name uncultured bacterium. Its description in RNAcentral is "bacterial SSU rRNA". It matches the Rfam family "Bacterial small subunit ribosomal RNA", at positions 355 to 1375 of the family's 1533-position model. The record is from RNAcentral.